UUGACUCUGGUCUUUCAUUGACUUCACCUCCCCCCUCUCUCUCACGCACGAGAGUUCCAACAAAGGGGCAAAGCAAGCCAUCUACCAGCGAACUCCUUUCAAAGAAGCCAUCUACCGGUGCCGGCGACAGUGACCCGACGAGGAAGCUUAAGUCGCCGACGCUGACGACCCCUCCGACGGUGACGACGCACCAAAGCUUCGCCGCCGCGCCACCGGGCAUGGACGCUGAAGAGAAGAUGCGGCUUAGAGACGAGUUGCGGGCGGCGAAUGCCAAGGCAGCCGAGGACGCCAUAAAGAUCGCCAAGCUUGAGGGCCAGCUGCUAGAGGCCAAGGACUUCAACUCCAAGUUCAUGGACUUACGCCAAGUUCAUGGACUCGGCGGCGCAGGUGAAGGCGGAGUGCACGGCGGAGGUCGCGAAACUCCAGGAGGAGCGCACCGCGGAGGUCGCGAAACUCCAAGCGGAGGUCGCGAAGCUCAAUCACGACCACGCCCGCGAAGGAGUAUGAGGCCCACAUCGCACGCGCCAAGGAGGAGUUGCUGAAUGUCAAGAGGGACCUAGUGCUCGCCCUGUUCCCGGCCAGCAUGGACGCCUCACUGCUGGAACACCUAAAGCUGAAAGCGGAUCCGGGGUGACCCUGCAGAUCGGGAUCCUGCUCAAAGUAUGGGAGAAUUGUAGUGGUUCCAGUCCCUGCUUCAUCAGAAGAUCGAGAAGGAUGUGCAUCUGAAACAAGAUCAUGGUCAUGGCCGAUCCGACAGGGAUCAGAAGGCAGAUCUAUGAGUUUGUGCUAGUGGUCAAGAAUUGCUCAGGAGCUUGUCUUGCUUCAUUAUUGGGGGAUGAGUAUGGGGGCUUGUAAUAAGCUAGCUAGACAGCUGCUGUUGUACGUGUAGGAAAGGGACAUGACUGCUAUUGUAGAUCAAUAGAGGAAUGGGCGACAAUUUAAUCUCACUCGAUCGUGGCCAGUUGGCCACUCAUUGCCCAAAAAAAAAGUUGAAAAGAAAACAGCGAGGAAAACGAAAUGAUCAUUGAUCAGUGGGCAAUCUUUGCCCGAAUCCUCCAUGCAUGCGCGGUUUACGUUGAAGAGCAAUUAUUUUCAGCAAUGUUGAUUUUA
Long non-coding RNA from Setaria italica (foxtail millet), 1110 nucleotides. RefSeq lists it as uncharacterized. The transcript has 2 exons. The record is from RefSeq and is a predicted model, not a curated record. NCBI's taxonomy places the organism in Eukaryota, Viridiplantae, Streptophyta, Magnoliopsida, Poales, Poaceae.